UACGAGGGGUCCUAGCGUUGCUCGGAAUCAUUGGGCGUAAAGCGGGUGUAGGCGGACAAUUAAGUCAGAUGUGAAAGCCCCAGGCUCAACCUGGGAAGUGCAUUUGAAACUGGUUGUCUUGAGUGCAGUAGAGGAAGGUGGAAUUCCAAGUGUAGUGGUGAAAUACGUAGAUAUUUGGAGGAACAUCGGUGGCGAAGGCGACCUUCUGGACUGUUACUGACGCUGAGACCCGAAAGCGUGGGGAUCAAACAGG
RNAcentral lists this ribosomal RNA (253 nucleotides) under uncultured bacterium. RNAcentral describes it as "partial 16S ribosomal RNA". It matches the Rfam family "Bacterial small subunit ribosomal RNA", at positions 524 to 776 of the family's 1533-position model. The record is from RNAcentral.